UACGAAGGGUGCUAGCGUUGUUCGGAUUUACUGGGCGUAAAGCGUGCGUAGGUGGCUUUACAAGUCAGGGGUGAAAUCCUGGGGCUCAACCCCAGAAUUGCCUUUGAAACUGUAAAGCUAGAGUAUCGGAGGGGAUAGCGGAAUUGCUAAGUGUAGAGGUGAAAUUCGUAGAUAUUAGCAGGAACACCGGUGGCGAAGGCGGCUAUCUGGACGAUUACUGACACUCUGGCACGAAAGCGCGGGGAUCAAACAGG
RNAcentral lists this ribosomal RNA (254 nucleotides) under uncultured bacterium. Its description in RNAcentral is "partial 16S ribosomal RNA". It matches the Rfam family "Bacterial small subunit ribosomal RNA", at positions 524 to 776 of the family's 1533-position model. The record is from RNAcentral.